Molecule: small nucleolar RNA, 132 nt
Organism: Melanotaenia boesemani (Boeseman's rainbowfish)
Lineage: Eukaryota; Metazoa; Chordata; Actinopteri; Atheriniformes; Melanotaeniidae
Product: small nucleolar RNA SNORA13
Exons: 1
Source: RefSeq, a predicted model, not a curated record
UGCCUUUGUGUUGCCCUCUCAUGAUGUUUACCAUGAACAGGGUGUCGAUUAAGGCAUACAGAGAUUCUUGUGGUUGUGAGAGGAAUUCAUCAUCAUUGAUCUAUUUCUACACAAUCGGCCACAAGCACAAAU